Molecule: ribosomal RNA, 318 nt
Filed under: uncultured bacterium
Lineage: Bacteria
Description: bacterial SSU rRNA
Rfam family: Bacterial small subunit ribosomal RNA
Source: RNAcentral
GAUGAACGCUAGCGGCAGGCUUAACACAUGCAAGUCGAGGGGCAGCAUGAGACGGAGAUUCGUCGAAGUCUUGAUGGCGACCGGCGCAAGGGUGCGUAACGCGUGAGCAACUUGCCCGUUUCAGGGGGAUAACCGGUGGAAACGCCGACUAAUACCCCAUAGCAUCAGUAUGAGGCAUCUCUUACUGAUUAAAGAACUUCGGAAACGGAUAGGCUCGCGUGACAUUAGCUAGAUGGCGGGGUAACGGCCCACCAUGGCGACGAUGUCUAGGGGUUCUGAGAGGAAGGUCCCCCACACUGGAACUGAGACACGGUCCAG